Molecule: ribosomal RNA, 254 nt
Filed under: uncultured bacterium
Lineage: Bacteria
Description: partial 16S ribosomal RNA
Rfam family: Bacterial small subunit ribosomal RNA
Source: RNAcentral
UACGGAGGGAGCUAGCGUUGUUCGGAAUUACUGGGCGUAAAGCGCGCGUAGGCGGUUUUUUAAGUCAGAGGUGAAAGCCCAGUGCUCAACACUGGAACUGCCUUUGAAACUGGAAAACUUGAAUCUUGGAGAGGUCAGUGGAAUUCCGAGUGUAGAGGUGAAAAUUCGUAGAUAUUCGGAAGAACACCAGUGGCGAAGGCGACUGACUGGACAAGUAUUGACGCUGAGGUGCGAAAGCGUGGGGAGCAAACAGG